This 453-nucleotide ribosomal RNA is filed under the name uncultured bacterium. RNAcentral's name for it is "bacterial SSU rRNA". It matches the Rfam family "Bacterial small subunit ribosomal RNA", at positions 354 to 796 of the family's 1533-position model. The record is from RNAcentral.
GUCGGGAAUUUUGCGCAAUGGGGGAAACCCUGACGCAGCGACGCCGCGUGCGCGACGAAACCCUUCGGGGUGUAAAGCGCUUUUAUCUCGGACGAACCCCCUCCGGUCGAAUAGGCCGGGGGAUUGACGGUACGGGAUGAAUAAGCCUCGGCUAACUCCGUGCCAGCAGCCGCGGUAAGACGGGGGAGGCGAGCGUUGUCCGGAAUUACUGGGUGUAAAGGGCAGGCAGGCGGACUCGUAAGUCCAGGGUGAAAUCCAUCGGCUCAACCGGUCGGACGGCCCCGGAUACUGCGAGCCUUGAGUCGAGCAGGGGAGAGGGGAAUUCCUGGUGUAGCGGUGAAAUGCGUAGAUAUCAGGAGGAACACCGGUGGCGAAGGCGCCUCUCUGGGCUCGUACUGACGCUCAUACUGCGAAAGCUGGGGGAGCAAACAGGAUUAGAAACCCCGGUAGUCC